RNAcentral lists this ribosomal RNA (460 nucleotides) under uncultured bacterium. Its description in RNAcentral is "partial 16S ribosomal RNA". It matches the Rfam family "Bacterial small subunit ribosomal RNA", at positions 338 to 795 of the family's 1533-position model. The record is from RNAcentral.
CCUACGGGAGGCAGCAGUGAGGAAUAUUGGUCAAUGGACGAGAGCCUGAACCAGCCAAGUAGCGUGAAGGAUGACUGCCCUAUGGGUUGUAAACUUCUUUUAUAAAGGAAUAAAACGAGGCACGUGUGCCUUUUUGCAUGUACUUUAUGAAUAAGGAUCGGCUAACUCCGUGCCAGCAGCCGCGGUAAUACGGAGGAUCCGAGCGUUAUCCGGAUUUAUUGGGUUUAAAGGGAGCGUAGAUGGGUUGUUAAGUCAGUUGUGAAAGUUUGCGGCUCAACCGUAAAAUUGCAAUUGAUACUGGCAGUCUUGAGUACAAGUGAGGUAGGCGGAAUUCGUGGUGUAGCGGUGAAAUGCUUAGAUAUCACGAAGAACCCCGAUUGUGAAGGCAGCUUACUAAACUGUGACUGACAUUGAUGCUCGAAAGUGUGGGUAUCGAACAGGAUUAGAUACCCCUGUAGUC